RNAcentral lists this ribosomal RNA (492 nucleotides) under uncultured bacterium. Its description in RNAcentral is "partial 16S ribosomal RNA". It matches the Rfam family "Bacterial small subunit ribosomal RNA", at positions 29 to 507 of the family's 1533-position model. The record is from RNAcentral.
AGUGAACGCUGGCGGUAGGCCUAACACAUGCAAGUCGAACGGCAGCACAGUAAGAGCUUGCUCUUACGGGUGGCGAGUGGCGGACGGGUGAGGAAUACAUCGGAAUCUACUUUUUCGUGGGGGAUAACGUAGGGAAACUUACGCUAAUACCGCAUACGACCUACGGGUGAAAGCAGGGGAUCUUCGGACCUUGCGCGAUUGAAUGAGCCGAUGUCGGAUUAGCUAGUUGGCGGGGUAAAGGCCCACCAAGGCGACGAUCCGUAGCUGGUCUGAGAGGAUGAUCAGCCACACGGGAACUGAGACACAGUCCAGACUCCGACGGGAGGAAGCAGUGGGGAAUAUUGGACAAUGGGCGCAAGCCUGAUCCAGCCAUACCGCGUGGGUGAAGAAGGACUUCGGGUUGGAAAGCCCUUUUGUUGGGAAAGAAAAGCAGCAGGUUAAUACCCCGCUGUUCUGACGGUACCCAAAGAAUAAGCACCGGCUAACUUCGUG